UUGCAGGCUGCAACUCGCCUGCAUGAAGUUGGAAUUGCUAGUAAUCGCGAAUCAGAAUGUCGCGGUGAAUACGUUCCCGGGCCUUGUACACACCGCCCGUCACACCAUGAGAGUCGAUAACACCCGAAGCCUGUGAGCUAACCGCAAGGGGCAGCAGUCGAAGGUGGGGUUGAUGAUUGGGGUGAAGUCGUAACAAGGUAAC
This 202-nucleotide ribosomal RNA is filed under the name uncultured bacterium. RNAcentral's name for it is "partial 16S ribosomal RNA". It matches the Rfam family "Bacterial small subunit ribosomal RNA", at positions 1298 to 1500 of the family's 1533-position model. The record is from RNAcentral.